GACGAACGCUGGCGGCGUGCUUAACACAUGCAAGUCGAACGGAAAGGCCCUGCUUGCAGGGUACUCGAGUGGCGAACGGGUGAGUAACACGUGGGUGAUCUGCCCUGCACUUCGGGAUAAGCCUGGGAAACUGGGUCUAAUACCGGAUAGGAGCCAUUCUUAGUGUGAUGGUUGGAAAGUUUUUUCGGUGUAGGAUGAGCUCGCGGCCUAUCAGCUUGUUGGUGGGGUAAUGGCCUACCAAGGCGGCGACGGGUAGCCGGCCUGAGAGGGUGGACGGCCACAUUGGGACUGAGAUACGGCCCAGACUCCUACGGGAGGCAGCAGUGGGGAAUAUUGCACAAUGGGCGCAAGCCUGAUGCAGCGACGCCGCGUGGGGGAUGACGGCCUUCGGGUUGUAAACUCCUUUCGCUAGGGACGAAGCUUUUUGUGACGGUACCUAGAGAAGAAGCACCGGCUAACUUCGUG
Molecule: ribosomal RNA, 465 nt
Filed under: uncultured bacterium
Lineage: Bacteria
Description: partial 16S ribosomal RNA
Rfam family: Bacterial small subunit ribosomal RNA
Source: RNAcentral